RNAcentral lists this unclassified non-coding RNA (320 nucleotides) under uncultured fungus. Its description in RNAcentral is "partial contains small subunit ribosomal RNA, internal transcribed spacer 1, and 5.8S ribosomal RNA". The stretch from base 1 to 73 matches the Rfam family "Eukaryotic small subunit ribosomal RNA", at positions 1759 to 1831 of the family's 1831-position model. Lineage: Eukaryota; Fungi. The record is from RNAcentral.
GCAAACUUGGUCAUUUAGAGGAAGUAAAAGUCGUAACAAGGUUUCCGUAGGUGAACCUGCGGAAGGAUCAUUAAAAAAGGUUUGGACCUCUUUUAUGGAUCUAUUAAAAAUUCAUGAAUCCACUUUGUGUGCAACUAUUGAAAAAGAAGGUGGCUUCUGGGAGAUGGGUUUCAGAUGAUGAAACUUCAUCUCCCAAGAGGUAUAUUUUAAAUCCUACAAUUUUAUUUUUUUUGAUGACUUAAUUUUUAUAUAUAGUAAAAAAUAAAAAAACAACUUUCAACAACGGAUCUCUUGGCUCUUGCAUCGAUGAAGAACGCAGC